GGCUGCUUCAGUCUGUGGCCCUCCAGCAGGUAGUCGUAGAUCUCAUGGUUCUGCACCCCGGGAUAGGGCGUCAUGCCUCGGGUGGAAAUCUCCCACAUGGUGACUCCAAACGCCCACUGCAUGAAACACAGUGUUCUUCAGAGGAAACGCUCACCACAUCGCUCUUAAUGGUGAACACCCGGUCAGCGAGGCUCUCCAUCGCGAUCCACUUCACGGGCAUCUUGGCGAUGCGACCCUGCCGGUAGUAGUCCCCGCUGUAGAUCUUCUUGGACAGGCCGAAAUCAGCCACGCACACCGACAUGUCGUCACGCAGCCUAUCAGAGGAAUGGAGAAUUACAGAUUGGUCUAAAUCUGGGAUUAUAUUGUCCUAUGUUUUGCUUUAGCUUUCUGCUAAAUCUUAAAUACAUUGCAUUUUCUAAAAAGCUUUUUUAACUUUGCCUUUAUUUUCUAUUUUAAUAUUAAAAUGACUUUUUUAACUUUCUAUUUUACCCAUUUCUUUGCAUAUGUUUUCUUUUACUUAUCUAUUAUUUUAUUUUAUUGUAUGACAAUGUUUAUAUGUGAAGCACUUUGAGUCUGCCUUGUGUAUGAAUAGUGAUAUAUAAAUAAAGUUGCCUUGCCUUGCCUUGCCUAAAUUAAUGUUGAAAUCAUGUCAAUCUGCACCGAUAUAUUGUCCCCUGAUUUAUAUCGGGCAAUAUCGGCCGAAUUGAGCAAUGCCUGUAUUGUUUGGUGGUGAGGCAGAUAUUAAUGGUUGAUAAAUGUUUUUUUAUAAAUAAAUAAAUAAAAAUGUCUGA
Gadus macrocephalus (Pacific cod) is the source of this 791-nucleotide long non-coding RNA. RefSeq lists it as uncharacterized. The record is from RefSeq and is a predicted model, not a curated record. The transcript has 2 exons. NCBI's taxonomy places the organism in Eukaryota, Metazoa, Chordata, Actinopteri, Gadiformes, Gadidae.